GGGAGAGUCUGCCCAUGCCUGGCUCCUGGCUCCAGAGGCCGUGGGCCUCGGCUCUCCUCCCCGGAGCUCGGCUUCAUCCUCACCGUGGGUUCUCCUGGGUGUUUCGUGUGGUCUCCUCGUCUCUUACAAGGACACCUGCCGUUAGCCUUAGGGCCCACCAUGAUCCACAGCCUCACCUUGAGAUCCUGACCUCACUGGCAUCUGCAAAGACCCUUAUUCCGAACAACGUCAUGUGACGAGGCCUCGGGUGGACAUACCUGGGUGGGGCGGGCACGAUUCGCUGAUCACAGGGACUGCGCGAGAACCACUUGUCCUUUUAAAGGCUUGGUAUCGUCUGAAUGUGGGGGUGCUUUCAUAAGGAAAAUUAAAGGGAAUGGUGGCCCUGAGCCAGCUUUAGGGACCACACAGUCCAGUGGGACAGGCACGUGGCUUUGGUUCUGAGCACCUGGGGAGCGGUGGCCGUGCACCAGCCAGGCCAAAGGCCACAGUCCAUGCUGCCGGCGGUAAGUGCCAGCCUGUCCAGCAGCCAGCCUUCUUUCCCAGGUAGGCGUCGCUUCUCUGGGGUCAAGAAAUCCUCAGGACCCCAAGGUCUUCGCGCCCUUGCUGCACUGGGGGUCAGCCCUAGCCAACCUCUCGGGUGCCGCUGAGUCUCGCCCACUCCCUCGGCCAGGGAAGCUCAGGCCGCCCCCGGGAGGUGGGACCUAAGGGCUCCGGGGGAGGGGGGUCUGCAGGCUGAGCAGCUGAGGGGGUGGCGAGAGGCCGCCUGGUGGCUUCCGGCUCGCAGUGCCAUCGCCUGGGGAACCUCACUGUGGGGUGAGCGCGCGCGGACGGAAGCCUGGGAAGGCCCUGCGCUCUCCAUAUCCGGGUGGUGGCUGUGGUCAGGUCACCCCGGGGGCCCCAGGGUGACUGUUGAGUUGGAAGAGAUUCACACUGACCGCAGGCAAAAGAGACCACAUGGACUGUGCCUGUCUGUGAGGCUCACUGCUGUGGCCGCCCUCUGACCCCAGGCUGACCCUGGCCCCCCUCUGAAAGGGGGGGAGGUGAACAGGAGGCUUCAAGGGGAGGACCCAGCCUCCAAGCUCAGCUCUGCGUCCAGAAGUUGGCUGUCUUAGCCGCGUUAGCUCAGGCUGCCCUAACAAGGUAGCACAGACACAGGCUUCAACAGCAGUUUAUUUCCUCACGGUUCUGGAGGCCUGGAGUCCAAGGUCAAGGUGCUGGCGGGGUUAGGGCUUUGACAUAUGAAUGGGAAUGGGGCAGGCACAACUCAGUGUAACCGCCAAGGAGUAACAGAGUCUGGAAAACCCCAGCGCAGCCAGGACAGAGUGUUGGGAAGGCGUGGGUGAUGUCAGCCAGGCGGAAGAGGGUUUUGCUGCACCCUGGCACCCCAGCGUGGCAUCACCCAGAGGCUGAUCGAGCCUGAGGUGGCCUGGGUGGGCUGAGGCGCAGAGGCCAAAGGACAGUCUGCAGGGGUGGCCAGGGCUCCUAUAGCCGCCACCCACUGACCAAGACCCUGGAGUCUUUUCCUGUCACCUGAUGGAAGGGCCCCACCUGAGAAAUGCAGCUCAGGAGUGUUUAUCUAAUGGAGAACACAAAGGUCACAGACACCUUAGCCCAUCCCAGAUGACUUCCGAUAACCACUCCCAACGCUGUGAAUAUUGUUAACAGAAAAUAGAAGAGACAGCAGCCACUCUCUUCUCCCCACUGCUCCUCUCCUUCUGGCCCCAUUUCCCUGUGCUGCUCAGCAGCAGGGCUGGGAGGCUGGGCCCACGGUGGGCAGCCACAGGCCAGUCAAGACAGCAAACCUGCAGAGGGGAGGGGACAGUCUGCGCCACCCCAAGGCAGUGCCUGUCAUGUAAUUUAAAUUGUAGCUAUGUUUGAAUGAGCUUGUGCAGCACCUGCUUCCUCUGGAUGGGCCUGGGUUGCCCGUGCUGGCUCCUGGGGGCCGUGCCAUGGGUUGGGGAAGUCUGCCUGUCCCCAGUCACUCAAGCCCUUGGACCCUGGGGGGCCACUAUCCUGGUGCCUCCUCUUCAGGUGGUUGCUCAGCCAGCAGCUACUUGGGGACCUGAACUUGCUUAGGCCCAUUCCUCAGGCCCCUCUUCGUCCCAUCUGAACCUACACAUCACCGCUGCCAGCUCGUUUCACAGCAACGAUGGAAACCCCUAAAGGAGAGUUUCUAGUUAGGCCCUGCCCAGUGCCACCCACCUGAGGGGAGUGGGAAGGCGUUGGUGUGUGGCCUGUGCCCUCACUGUUGGAGUUGAUCUGGCCAGAGAGGCCCCAAGGCCUUUCUCAGGACACACAGGCCGCGAUGCCCAGCAAGCUGCCCCCACGGUGUGUGCAUAUAUCUCCUUUGGGAGCUUGCAGAGAGGCGGUGCGUUCUCCAAUCUGGACACUUCCAAGAGAUGCAACAGGGCCCCAUCUUCCCGGGAACCACUGAUGUGGAUGCCUAUUGGUCAUGGCGCUGGCCACGCUUUCUGUGCUGCAAGAAUUGGGGUGACACAGGCUCUGCCUGGCAGCUGACCCAUCACUCUCCCCCACUCCAGCUACACCGGCUGAGCUCCAACCCCCGCCCCAUGCUCGAGUCUCCUCCCCCCACCCCGAUCCAGAUGUGCCCCUCAGCCCUGUGCUGCUUGCUGACCUGGGGCAGCUGCUCUGACAGGCCAUUUGGGCCUCUUCAAGAGCUGGGUGUAUCUGCCGUCCCCUCCUUUUCUGUUUAUCUCUCUAGAGCUAUUUGUAACAGCCCAUCAUUGGUCCAUGGAAACGCUUCCUUUUAAGGCAACUGGGGCAUUCCUUUGCGGGUGGGUAUACAAGUUCUGAGAUUUCUCUACCAAGUCCUGGCCCCCUUUUAUUCGCCCAGGGCCUCGAGCUGUGUACCUGCACAAGGACCACCAUGUGCAGUCAAGGUCUGGCCCUGUCCAGCGCAGCAGGCGGGGAGCAAGCUUGGGGGCCCAGCAAGACAGUGAUCUCUCAGCCUUCGCUCACGGCCAGCUCGGGGACACCGGGGGCGCUGUGUGCCUGUUUCCCCACCUGUCCAGGGUGGAGGGCUGCUAAGAUGGAUGGAGGUGGGAAGGAGGCCAGAGGAGGCCCAGGAAGCCCAGGGAGUCCAGAAAGGUGCAGACGACCACACUCCCUGCCUGCCUUCCCCAGGAGAGUGCCGCUGCUUUAAAGCAGAGGGUCUGCUCUCCUUGUAAGAAAAAGUACAACUAAAUAAAUACGGUAUGUGGAUGGAAAACCUUCAAAUGACUUGUUUUCUGUACCCUCCUCACCCCCUACCCCCCACCUUGAACACAGGGGAGGUGGGGACACAGGGCCCCCCAUGUGCUAUGAGCUCGGGCAGGAGCUGCCCACUGCAUCAGCGGGCAAGCUCUCCGGCCCCACCUCCCCUGGGGCCUAAGGAUCAAGGGACAGUGCCACAGGUCACUGGUGUGAUCUCGUGACAAGCAGAUGCCUCUCCCUGAGUCUGGCCCCUGCCUCCCUCCUCUAGGUCAAUACGUCCUCUCUCCCUGCAGGACCAGCACGGAGACUGCUCCUCAGUUUCUUUUCUUCUCUUCUUGCCCAAUCCCCUCUUUAAAAAAAAACGCCAUUGUUCAUAGAUUAAUUCCUUCAAACUACUCAGUGGUCUCCCUCAUUCUCUUCUCUAUGUCAGAGGGUUACCGGAAUGUUCUGGCUUCUGCAAAGGUAUGCGGACAGCAGGAAGGGUAGGUGCCAGCUGGCUUGUCCUGCCACCUGCUCCAGGCCGGGUGCCCCCCAAGCCCAGGGCCUGGCCUGUGGGGCAGCCCUCAUUCCUAGCUCCCCACAGUCCCCACACUCUGGAGGCUCCAGGACUGACGGCGCCGGUACCUGGAGGAAGACAAAAUGCGGCUGGGACACGGAUUGUCCAGAAGUGCACUCUAAUAUCUUAUUAGGUAUCUGAAUCUGUUAGGAAAAAAAUUAGAAACUAUGUAUAAAACUUAAAAAUAUUCAAGUAUCAAAAGGCUACUCGGAUCAAAGUUUAAAACAAGCUGUCAGCAAGCUGCCGCUGCCCAGUGGAAACUUUUACAAAAGUUUACUGAGUUUGUUCAG
Molecule: long non-coding RNA, 4059 nt
Organism: Manis pentadactyla (Chinese pangolin)
Lineage: Eukaryota; Metazoa; Chordata; Mammalia; Pholidota; Manidae
Exons: 3
Source: RefSeq, a predicted model, not a curated record